RNAcentral lists this ribosomal RNA (811 nucleotides) under uncultured bacterium. Its description in RNAcentral is "bacterial SSU rRNA". It matches the Rfam family "Bacterial small subunit ribosomal RNA", at positions 60 to 879 of the family's 1533-position model. The record is from RNAcentral.
AGUCGAGGGGUAUAGUAGCAAUACUAGAGACCGGCGCACGGGUGCGUAACGCGUAUGCAAUCUACCUUUUGCAGAGGGAUAGCCCAGAGAAAUUUGGAUUAAUACCUCAUAGUAUAACGACUCGGCAUCGAGAUGUUAUUAAAGUCACAACGGCAAAAGAUGAGCAUGCGUCCCAUUAGUUAGUUGGUAAGGUAACGGCUUACCAAGACUACGAUGGGUAGGGGUCCUGAGAGGGAGAUCCCCCACACUGGUACUGAGACACGGACCAGACUCCUACGGGAGGCAGCAGUGAGGAAUAUUGGACAAUGGGCGCAAGCCUGAUCCAGCCAUGCCGCGUGCAGGAUGACGGUCCUAUGGAUUGUAAACUGCUUUUGCACAGGAAGAAACAACGCUACGUGUAGCGUCUUGACGGUACUGUGAGAAUAAGGAUCGGCUAACUCCGUGCCAGCAGCCGCGGUAAUACGGAGGAUCCAAGCGUUAUCCGGAAUCAUUGGGUUUAAAGGGUCCGUAGGUGGUCUUAUAAGUCAGUGGUGAAAUCUCCCCGCUCAACGGGGAAACGGCCAUUGAUACUGUAGGACUUGAAUUAUUAGGAAGUAACUAGAAUAUGUAGUGUAGCGGUGAAAUGCUUAGAGAUUACAUGGAAUACCAAUUGCGAAGGCAGGUUACUACUAAUGGAUUGACGCUGAUGGACGAAAGCGUGGGUAGCGAACAGGAUUAGAUACCCUGGUAGUCCACGCCGUAAACGAUGGAUACUAGCUGUUGGGCGCAAGUUCAGUGGCUAAGCGAAAGUGAUAAGUAUCCCACCUGGGGA